Molecule: long non-coding RNA, 2449 nt
Organism: Ruditapes philippinarum (Manila clam)
Lineage: Eukaryota; Metazoa; Mollusca; Bivalvia; Venerida; Veneridae
Exons: 5
Source: RefSeq, a predicted model, not a curated record
UUAUUUUAAUUUAAUUAUGUAAGAAAUAAAGAAGAAUUUAAUGAUGAGACCAUGGCAAUAUCUCAGUUAUCCAAAAUUCUCAAGUUAUUGUUUAUUUUGAGCAUUUGCACUAUACGCUUUCCAGUUAUCUUUGUGGUGUGACUGAAUAUUUUUAGACAUUUCACCAAAUAUAAAAUUCAGGAAAUAGGCCAUGUCAAACUGUGUUAAAGAUCUUGCUUAAUUUACAAAUUGCAUCUUUGUUGCCUAUCUGAGAAGCAUUACUAUAAUGAUUUUAAUUUAUGCAUUGCAGACAGGACAAAUGAAGAUGGACAAGGAACUUUUCUGACUGAUCAUUUUCAUAAAAGGGAGAAAACACUGGAAAGACGAGUUUGCGUAUCUUGAAAGAGAAGUGAAGGAACUUAAGAAAAAAAUGAAUGAGGCCGAAUCUAGAAACAAAGAAACAAGGGAAAUCGAGGUUUCCCCAAGUCAAGUUCUGUUUUGGGUACAACUGAACUAUGUUUGACAGAGUUACUUCUCAAAUGUUCAGCAUGAGACUUUUUGCCAUGUAAAUGAACUCCGUCACCAGGUCAUGGAUAUGUCAGAAGACGAACUGAAGUUACUAGCUGAUCAUAUGGGACACUCGAUUUCUAUUCACACUUAAGUAUACAGACUACAGACGUCCAUUCUUGAAAGAACAAAAGUUGCAAGGGCUCUCUUUGCCCUAGAAGAUGGAAACUUGAGAAACUUUAGAGGAAGAGCUUUAUCUUCAAUUCCAAUUGAAGAAUUGCCAGAACCAGAGCAACAAGAUGAAAAUGUGGAUGUAAUUGAAGAUGAAGUAGUAGAUGCAGACAGCUCAGUUGGAAAUGUUAUGGAUUAUGGAGAAAUAGAUGCUUAUGAUUCUGACUCUGAACCUGCAAAAUAUGACAAUGUGAAGAAGACUUCAUCUAGAGGUACAAAGAAACGAUGGUCAGCUGAAGAGGAAGACUGUCUUAAUAAAGCCUUUGGGAUACAUAUCCAAAACAAAAAAAAUGUCUCUUCGUUUGAAAUAAGAAAAGCACAAAAGCAGUACCCCAUUUUACUGCAAAGGUCUGAAGCAGUCAUACGCUCAAAAAUCAACAAGACUGUGUUAGGAAAGUUAAAGAAACAUUAAAAUACGAUGUGUAGAUUGAAAAUUAUGUUAUGAAAAUAAUAUUAAAAAGAACUAACAAAGAUGUUUGAAGCUGUGUGUAAAAAUGACAUUGAGUUUCAUAAAUUAUAUUGAAUGUCAUACAUUACAUUGAUAAGUUGCACUCAGAGUCAUUAGUUACCUUGAAAAGUGACAUUCUUUAUCAAUGGUGACUUUAAUAAGUUACAUUGUGUUAAGUUUACUUGAUGAGUUACAUUAAGUGUCAUAUGUUACCUUGAAAGGUUACAUUAAGUUUCAUAAGUUACAUUGAUGGGUGACAUUAAGUUUCAUUUUUAAGUGGGUUAGUUACUUUAAGUGUCAUUAGUUACAUUGAAAAGUUGCAUCGUCAUUUGUGAUUUGAUAAGUUACAUGAAGUGUCGAGUUUAAUUGAUGAGUUACAUCAAAUGUCAUUUGUUACCUUGGAAAGUUGCAUUAAAUGUCAUUUGGUUGUAUUAAGUGUUAUUUGUUACCUUGAAAAGUUGCAUAAAGUGUAAUUUGUUACUUUGUUAAGUUACUCAUUUUUAUGCCUCCGAAACUGGGGCAUAUUAAAAUCGCACCGUCUGUCUGUCCGUCCGCUCUUAGGGGAGAGACAUUGUGGGGUAUUUCUUAAGUCUAUAUGGUAUUUAUGGGGUUAAAAUCACAUGUGGGGUCGACCCCACAUGCUGAUUGAGAUUGAUCGUUAUUUUUGUCGUUCUGGGGUCUAGAAAAAAGACCCCACAAAUUAAAACCUAUUGUUGGUUGGACUCGGAGUACGGACAACACCGUAAAUUCUACAAAAAUUCCAAGGGAGACUAAUCUUAGAUGUUUUCUUAUCACGUGAUGCAAAACUAAUCGAGUGCUUCGGCUUUUUCCAUAGCCAGGGAGGUCAUUUUGAGCAUGCCCACUUCGCCGGCGCAUGCACAUGUGGAAUAAUGGCUGCCUUGUCAAGGUAAGAAUUGCUUGUGCUGUUUUAUUUUAAUGUCAAUAUAAGUGCAACAGUUUGCAGAACUUGCCUUAAGACAGCCAACUACAGGUAUAUAUUUGAAUGUGUGAUAUUUUUCUUUUGCUAUUUAUUUUUUUGUACUUACAAAAAAAGUUAAAAUGUUAUUUAAAGAUAUGGUAUGCCUUUUAUAAUGCAUAUUUUUUUGCCUGUUAUUGACAGUGUGAAAUCCCUGGCAUUGUAAAAUAUGUUGAAAGUCUCUCAUUCUACAGGAUGUACUAUGUGCAGGAAACAAUUAUUAUUUUCUACUCUUUACUUCAUCAAAUACUACUUUAAAUUACGAAGGGACUAAGAGUAUUCGAUCUGAUUUUACACACUAAUUAUAU